This 467-nucleotide ribosomal RNA is filed under the name uncultured bacterium. RNAcentral's name for it is "bacterial SSU rRNA". It matches the Rfam family "Bacterial small subunit ribosomal RNA", at positions 30 to 514 of the family's 1533-position model. The record is from RNAcentral.
CGAACGCUGGCGGCGUGCUUAACACAUGCAAGUCGAACGAUGAAGUUCCUUCGGGAAUGGAUUAGUGGCGAACGGGUGAGGAACACGUGAGAAACCUGCCUUUCAUUUUGGGAUAACUCCGGGAAACCGGGGCUAACACCGAAUACUCCAUCUCGGCGGCAUCGCUGAGCUGGGAAAAAAUUUUGAUGAAAGAUGGUCUCGCGGCCUAUCAGCUAGUUGGUGAGGUAAUGGCUCGCCAAGGCAACGACGGGUAGCCGGCCUGAGAGGGCGACCGGCCACACUGGGACUGAGACACGGCCCAGACUCCUACGGGAGGCAGCAGUGGGGAAUAUUGGGCAAUGGGCGCAAGCCUGACCCAGCGACGCCGCGUGAGGGAUGAAGGCCUUCGGGUUGUAAACCUCUUUCAGUAGGGAAGAAGCGAAAGUGACGGUACCUAAGAAGAAGCACGGCUAACUAUGUGCCAGCAG